GCAGAGAAAUUUUCUAUUUUGACUUCAAAUUUCCGCCAAAUGUUAUAUGUAAAAAGAUUAAAAAAAACUGCCGCAAAAAAAAAAAAAAACUAAAACCGCAAAAAGAAAACUUUAACUACGAAUAAUCGAAUUUCUUCUCUCUCACCUCUCGGUUUUCAAUAGAAUCUUUCUAUCUCUAUUUUAAAAAGAAACUGUUGAAAAUAUGUUCAGGGUUUGGAAUGAUAGAGGUAAUCUUCUCAUUAAUGAUUAAACCGUGAUUAAUAUUGGUUCAAUUUCUGGAUGUUCUAUCGGUUUUGUUCUUACCAAGAAAAGCAGGAGUGUUGGGACUUCUUACCAAGAAAAGCAGGAGUGUUCGGAAUAGUCCUGACCUAUACUUAAACCUAACCGGAAGUUCUCUCUUCAUUCACAGUUUACGCCUCUCCCCGAUCUCUUCUCUCCCUCCUUUUCUUUUCAGAACCCUAAUAUUCUGUGUUUUUUUUUAAUUUAAUUAACUAUACAUUUCUGUUUUGUUAUCUUUUGUAUGUUUUGCAGGGAUUUACUCUAAACUUUUACUUCCCGUCAUACGGAGAUGAACAAUUUUAUGCUUUAGGGUCGGAAAAGAAAAUACGUAUUGAGGACGUUCGUCUCCUGCCAUUGGAUUUAACGAUUCAUGUUCAGUGAUCUUACAUGCAUCUUGAGAUGUUACACAAGAUGGGAAACUCACGGGGAUCCUACUCUGAGGAACAAUCAUCCAAGCUCAUCUGGUGCUGCAAAUUAUAUAGUAGGUGCCCAUAGUAGUGUUGUCACAAAUUAUGAGGUCUUAAAAACAACUUUAGUCUGAUUUUGAAUCAGUAACAGAUACUGAAUCAAUUUCAAAGCAUACAAAACAUAUCUUUGAUCAGUCAGGAGUGAAGGGAGUGGAGGUGGAUUUGAGUAAUCAAGUUGUAGCAGUGCAGUAGUUGUCGGUUCUUCUCAUGGUCAUGUAAAGAAAAUGUUUAGGCUUUGUGUGCAAGAGAAGGAAAGAAAGCUAGAUUAGUUAGUCAACGGAUCCUUGUAGAUUCUUUUUAAAUUUGAUCUUUUUAUGCAUACAUUGUUGCAUAUAAAGAACUGAAACAAGAGUUGUCUAAAUGGUAUUAUAACUUCCACAAAAAAAGUAUUGAAGCUUAAACACUUUUGGAAAGCAGGUACGAUUUUACUGUAAAAAUGAGAUGUAAUACCUAACCGUAUUCGCUUGAUCGAUUCUGGUGAUCCCAAAGAUUUUCCGGCGACCCAAUUUUGUGCAGAAGCUUGGCAACACCAAACAAAAAAUGCAUCGGAAUGGGGGCGAGGCGUAGCCGAGCCACACCAAAUAAAAAAUUGCAUCGGGACGUGGGUAAGGCGAAGCCGAGCCACACCUAAUUAAAAAUGCAUCGCGAUAGGACGAGACGAAGCCAAACCACACCAAAUUAAAUCAGGACGGGGCAAGGAUGAAGCAUAGCUUUAUCAAAUCAAAUCGGGACGGAGCUAGGCGAGGCGAAGCCGAAGCGAGCUUUACCAAAUCAUAUCAGGACGGACAGAGGCGAGGAGAAGCCAAAACCGACCUUUACCAAAUCAAAAAUAUGGUUCAAAGAAAAAGAUGAUGCCCGAUACGUAGCAGCCAUGGUAUCAUCAGAUAUAGUGUAGAAGGCAUUUUUCUUCAUGGCAGAUAAAUGAAGUAUUCUUCAUUCUAUCUAUUUUGGUGGUAGCAACAUAGCAUAAACAAAUAACAUUUUCUGUAAAUGCAAAUGAAUAGUUUAUCGUCUUUAAUA
Long non-coding RNA from Papaver somniferum (opium poppy), 1766 nucleotides. RefSeq lists it as uncharacterized. The transcript is spliced from 8 exons. Lineage: Eukaryota; Viridiplantae; Streptophyta; Magnoliopsida; Ranunculales; Papaveraceae. The record is from RefSeq and is a predicted model, not a curated record.